GGCAGUUCUCAGGUGACACACCCCAAAAUCAGGCUCCCUCCUCUCUGGUUCCAGGUGUGUCACAGGAGAACUGCA
Myotis davidii is the source of this 75-nucleotide non-coding RNA. Lineage: Eukaryota; Metazoa; Chordata; Mammalia; Chiroptera; Vespertilionidae. The record is from Rfam.